AAGCAACUGUCGAUACUGUGGCAC
This 24-nucleotide non-coding RNA is filed under the name Arabidopsis thaliana (thale cress). Lineage: Eukaryota; Viridiplantae; Streptophyta; Magnoliopsida; Brassicales; Brassicaceae. The record is from RNAcentral.